GUCCCCUACAAGCCACUGGUUGAUGAAAUCCUUUCAGUUAUGUUGAAAUUGGUUAAUAAGUGUGUUUUCUUAGUAUAGUUACUGUUAUGGUUGGUGCUCAUAUAGCGAUCCCUUAACAAGUUUAAUUUUAUAUAGACAACAGGUAUUCAUUUUACCUGGGAAUGGUUUUAAUGUUAUCGGUAUGUAUUAUAUUCAGUGUAGGGAUUUGUCAGAUCUCUUAUAAUAUCUCAAAAAAUGUAUACCGAUUUUCGGUAGCUGUAAUAACGCUUACUGUUUUUUUAGGGACAGAUAUUACAGAUACAAACCAGGGUUGCAGACAAAGCUGUCAAAGUCCUGGAUGUUCUGCGAGGGGACUUGUGGUGUGCUUCCAGUCAGUCUGAGAAUCUGGAGAGUUGCAGCUGUUGUCACUGGAUGCAGGACUCUGUACUGCCUUCCUCUCUUAGCAGAUAACCGUUAGUGCCUGUGGUUUACCAACCAUAUAACACACCCAUCAAUCUGACAAAAAGACUAUUACCCACUUUAGUAACAUUUCACUGCUGAAUUUUACACACUGAUAUUAAAUCUGUU
RNAcentral lists this long non-coding RNA (567 nucleotides) under Astyanax mexicanus (Mexican tetra). RNAcentral describes it as "lncRNA (ENSAMXG00005019041.1)". The record is from RNAcentral. Lineage: Eukaryota; Metazoa; Chordata; Actinopteri; Characiformes; Acestrorhamphidae.